Molecule: ribosomal RNA, 602 nt
Filed under: Gargara sp. 16071360
Lineage: Eukaryota; Metazoa; Arthropoda; Insecta; Hemiptera; Membracidae
Description: 16S ribosomal RNA
Rfam family: Bacterial large subunit ribosomal RNA (bases 343-501)
Source: RNAcentral
UAAUUUUAAAUAGCUGCAGUAUUUUGACUGUACAAAGGUAGCAUAAUAAUUAGUCUUUUAAUUGAAGUCUGGAAUGAAUGAUAAAAUGAAAAAUUUACUUUAUUUUUUUUAUUGUUAAAAUUUAAUUUUUAAGUGAAAAAGCUUAAUUAAUUUUUUGGGACGAGAAGACCCUAUAGAACUUUAUUUAUUAAGUUAAUAUUAAUUUAUUUAGGUUAAAUUUUUAUAUAUUAAUUUUUUGAAAUUAAUUGGGGUGAUUAUUAAAUUUAACUUUAAUUUAGAUUUUCAUUAAUUUAUGAUUUAUUGUUCCUUUAUUUAAAGAUUAAAAGAUUAAGUUACCUUAGGGAUAACAGCGUUAUUUUAAUGGUAAGUUCUUAUUUAUAUUAAAGUUUGCGACCUCGAUGUUGAAUUAAGAUAAUUCCAAGGGGUAGUUUUUUUGGCUUUAAGUCUGUUCGACUUUUAAUUUCUUACAUGAUUUGAGUUCAGACCGGUGUGAGCCAGGUCGGUUUCUAUCUGAAAAUACAUAAAUUAUUUUAGUACGAAAGGACCGUUUAAUUCAAUUUUUUAUUGUUUAUUUUAAAUAUUAGUUUGGCAGAAUUAUGCAU